UUAGUAGGAACGAACAGCGUGACCUUUGACCUGACCUUGGCGAACUCAUCGAAGGUGAUCUUCCCGUCCUGGUUGAGGUCCAUGGUCCUGCUGAGCUCCUGGACGAUCUCUCGGAUACGGUAUCCCGGCAGAGGAAGGUUUGCGGCUCGGAAAAGGUCGUUCAGCUCGUCUGUGCUGAUGUAACCGUUACCGUCCACAUCUGCAAGCAAAGGUCAAAGAAAUAAAGAUGAUAU
Molecule: non-coding RNA, 233 nt
Organism: Pimephales promelas (fathead minnow)
Lineage: Eukaryota; Metazoa; Chordata; Actinopteri; Cypriniformes; Leuciscidae
Source: RefSeq, a predicted model, not a curated record